Molecule: long non-coding RNA, 699 nt
Organism: Harmonia axyridis
Lineage: Eukaryota; Metazoa; Arthropoda; Insecta; Coleoptera; Coccinellidae
Exons: 2
Source: RefSeq, a predicted model, not a curated record
UGUUAUUUUCGGCCAAGAGACAAUAUUUUUCGAAUUUAUUAUACAUGGGGACCCUAUAGAAUUUGUCUGACGAUAUUUGUAUCUGUGCAAAUAAAUAAAUUAAUUUGAGUGCAGGUAUGGGUUGCGUUGGAGUUCAUUGUGAAAUUCGUCAGGUACCUUUGUGUAUCAUUUUUACUUUUUCUAUUACAUAAUAUAUUCAGAGUUUACACACGUACAUAAUGGGAAUCAGUUGUUCAUGAAUGAAGUAUUUCCGCAGUUGAGUUUAACGCCUACAUGUGUCUGAGACUUCUUCAGAUAAUUUGACGAUCGUUUUUAUUCAUUCUGAUUUAGAGGUUCGUUAUAAAGAAUUGAUUUUUGCCUGAGAUUAAUAAAUUAAUGGUUUUGUGUUUAACCCUUAAUAUACAAGGGUUUUUGGUUUGGAGAGAAAACUCAAUUUUUGGUUUGAUGAGAAAACUCAAUUUUUGGUUUGGAGAGAAGACUCAAUUUUUGGUUUGGAGAGAAAUCUCAAUUUAUGGUUUGGAGAAAUAUCCCAAUUUUUGGUUUGAAGAGAAGUUCCAUUUUCUUGGUUUGGAAAGAAGUUCCAUUCAAGUUGGGUUUGAAGAAGGAAAUUCCAGUUUUUCUUUGAAGAGAGAAAUAGCAGUACCUACGUCGAGACCUACGUAUAGUUGAAUAAGGCGGAUACGAAAUCUACGCUGUGGA